This is a non-coding RNA of Coturnix japonica (Japanese quail), 1337 nucleotides long. The record is from RefSeq and is a predicted model, not a curated record. Lineage: Eukaryota; Metazoa; Chordata; Aves; Galliformes; Phasianidae.
ACACACUCACAUACACACACAAUGCUACGCGGCACCUACCAGGCGGGCAGCCUCGGCCCAGAUCUGCAAUUCAGAUUUGGCUUUGUAAGUGCAAAACCUCAGAAUCCUAUGGAAGAGGGAGUCCGUGUUUAUGUCAUCUCACAUGGGAGAGAAGGACUACACCUCUGAGCUGUCUUCUGUACCGACACACACCUGCUUGCACCUGCUUGCCAAGGGCAACAAAGAAAUAUUUGAAUUGUUUCCUGGUAAUAGGUUACUUUCCUGACACCAAAUAGUUUGGGCAGCUUUCUGCUAGCUGCCAUUGACUAUCUGCAUGCAUCUGAAACUUUUAGAUAAUAGCAGACAAUAGCACAAAUAUGAAGAGAAGUAGUUUAUUAACAAGCACGAAUUUCUGAAAAUGAAGGAAAAUAUGAUGAUGCAGUAUUGGUGAUAAGCAGCAGAGGGCAUUUCUCAAAUGCACUGAUGCAAAAGAAUAAAAAAAUAAAUAAAUCAGUCUGGAGGCAUCUCAUUGUGUGUUUUGUACAGAUUCUUGCUGUAGAUGUGAGGGAUUUGCUGUUCCUUUAUGGCUAUGGGAACACCCUUCAGUUCUAGCACAACAUAUGCGAUAGCCCGGUCAAUAAACAAUUCCAGUGUAGGUGUCUUGUAUUAGAUACUGCCAUUUAUCUCCUUUUCUCCUCAGUUUAACAGAUGAAUCUGUGAAUGCUUGGAACAGCCCUGCUGAUUUCAGGGGUUCUUGCUUGGGCACAAUGCCUUCACAAUCAGCGACAGUUUAUGUAAUCACUUCUACUGGCUAUCUAAACCUAAAAAUUGUAAAAGACAAAUGAAAGUUGAACAAAGUACUUCUUAAAAUGACAGUACUUUGUUACUAUCAGUGAAAAUUGAUGUGCUGUAGUCUGGGGCAGAGACCAAUUUCUGGCAGCGCAUUUGCAAUGUAGCUUCUACAUCAGUCAGUGGUCCAUAAGCAUCAUAAUGCUGAUGAUAUAAAUACCUAAGAUAAAAUUUUGGACAUUUGACUUAAAUGUCCUUGAAAAGUACCUAAACAUUAUGUUACAAAAUUAUACAAAUAUCACACAAGAAACCAAGAGCUUUAAUUAGAAACAGACUAGUCAGAACAAUGAGGUUAAAAAUCAGAACAUUUGGUAUUUGAUUUCUUCAGUCUUCCUCUAGUUGCUUCUUUUUGUUGUUUUUUUUUAGUGGGAUUUUUCAGAUAAACUUAUGCCCACACAAGGGCAUCCUAAAUUGUGUUCAUGUGAGUCAUCCAUUUCUUACAGCCCAGCUAUUUAGGUACAGGUCAUUGUAUAAUCAAACCUUUAAGAAAUAAAGAAAAAUAAACUUUA